RNAcentral lists this long non-coding RNA (199 nucleotides) under Lupinus angustifolius (narrow-leaved blue lupine). RNAcentral describes it as "long non-coding RNA (LANG_LNC002715)". The record is from RNAcentral. Lineage: Eukaryota; Viridiplantae; Streptophyta; Magnoliopsida; Fabales; Fabaceae.
UUUAGUUUAAUGACCCAUUUCAUUAUUAAAGUUAACAAUUUUGUUUUGUUAUGAUAAAAUAGUCAAUAUAUUUACCCAGAUGCGUGUGUCUCUGAUAAUACAAUUUGUUUCUACCAGCACAAUAUUGAAAUUCUCUGUCGAUUUUGACUAUCGAUACAGAGGAAUUAUUUAAUAUUUAUAUAGAUAAAUACCUCCAAAG